RNAcentral lists this long non-coding RNA (1196 nucleotides) under Homo sapiens (human). RNAcentral describes it as "HSALNT0355795". Lineage: Eukaryota; Metazoa; Chordata; Mammalia; Primates; Hominidae. The record is from RNAcentral.
AGUGACUGGCUGGCAUGAAUUAAUAGGAUUCAUUGGUGCUGACUCCCCCACCUGCACAUUCCUGCCCACAGUCGCGAAUCUUGACGAUGACAUCCAUGAGCACAAAGAAUUAUGCCAGGCAAUCCUAGAGAAUGGGAGUGUUUAACCUUUUCCUCGCCAUCUUGUCUACUUUUAUCUCUGCAGAACCCUCUGUGGAAGCGGUGGUCUGACACAAGCAUUUCUGGAUGACGCUGAACCUGCUUACAACUCCCUGCUGCUGUCAGGCAGAACAUUCUCCAAACCGCAUGAAUUUGGAAGUCUGGACACUUCAGGCAUCAUCAGGUUUAUGGUUUUGUCAUAACCCUGCUGAAAGUCCUUUACCAUCUCCAGGCCUCCAUUUAUUUUCUAUAAAAUAAGGAGUUUGGAAUGGCACUGUGUUGAUAUUCUCCAGUUUUGUGAAACAUCGUACUCAACAAUCGCGAGCAGGCAUUUUACAGACCUUGCUUUCCUAGACCUGCUCAAGUAGAACAUUCAGCAGCUUAGCGACAUCAGAGACAAUUGAAGCAAAGGGCCCACUUAUGGCUGACAGCUGACCCUGCAGCCCAGCUGGGAAGCCCCUGAGACGACCCGGGUCCAGCCAUCAGGGAAGGGAACCAGCGUGGCCCCAGGAGGGCUUUAGGCUGAGGCUUCUCCCAGGAUGUGGAGGCUCAGCACUUUGCACAAAUUGGAUUCAUGCCAAAGGAAACUGAAAGCCUGCCUUUCUUUUUUUCCCAGUGCACAUCUCAGAUUAUUUGGCCUUUGUCCGAGGACUGAAAACAGUUCUGUGUCCAAGUAUGUUUUUAAUACCUGAUAUUUAUUUCACAAAAAAGCUGAAAUUGCUUUGUGUGUCCAGGCUUGAAUGUUUAAGGCAUACUUGAUUAAUACAUGUGUGCUGAGCGCUUCCUGGGGCUCCUAGACACUGCCAAAGGUAGCUCAGUGGGGAAAUUCAAGGCAAUUUUCCCCUUAACUUUUGCUACUUCUGACCAUUUUCCACUUAUGUUAUUAUGCUUCUGUAUCCAUCUGUCUGCCUAUGUCUAGCUAUCCAUCAUCUAUCAAUCAAUCACUGUAUCUUGCAAUGGAGGAAUUAACUGUGAUGUUUUCAAGCGUGUCGCUUCUCUCAUAUUCCUAUUAACAUAUUGGAAACGCUCAGCUAAAUAGAAUAAAGUUUUUAGCCUAAA